GAUCCUACUGUCUCCCCCCUCCAAUCGGUGAAACUGAUCUCUCCGUGAAGAAGCGGAGAUGUACAUAUAAGACGAGAAGACCCCAUGGAGCUUUAAACCCAACGACACCCGCCCCCCUCCAAAUCCUAUUAUUUACCCGGUGAUUGUUUGUUUGGUUUUAGGUUGGGGUGACCGCGGAGUAUAAGAUAUCCUCCAUGAAAAAAAGCUAACUGCCCUUAUUAGAGAAAGACACUUCCAAAAAAUAAUAAAUUAAUUUUAAAUGAUCCGACAUUCGAUCAACGAACCAAGUUACCCUGGGGAUAACAGC
RNAcentral lists this ribosomal RNA (307 nucleotides) under Boophis madagascariensis (Madagascar bright-eyed frog). RNAcentral describes it as "partial 16S ribosomal RNA". It matches the Rfam family "Bacterial large subunit ribosomal RNA", at positions 2009 to 2481 of the family's 2925-position model. The record is from RNAcentral. Lineage: Eukaryota; Metazoa; Chordata; Amphibia; Anura; Mantellidae.